UGAGCGGACGCGAGUUUACAAUAUUC
RNAcentral lists this non-coding RNA (26 nucleotides) under Drosophila melanogaster (fruit fly). The record is from RNAcentral. Lineage: Eukaryota; Metazoa; Arthropoda; Insecta; Diptera; Drosophilidae.